Molecule: ribosomal RNA, 460 nt
Filed under: uncultured bacterium
Lineage: Bacteria
Description: partial 16S ribosomal RNA
Rfam family: Bacterial small subunit ribosomal RNA
Source: RNAcentral
CCUACGGGUGACAGCAGUGAGGAAUCUUGGUCAAUGGGCGAGAGCCUGAACCAGCCAAGUCGCGUGAAGGAUGAAGGAUCUCUGGUUUGUAAACUUCUUUUAUAUGGGAAUAACGUGAGGAACGUGUUCCUUUUUGUAUGUGACAUAUGAAUAAGCAUCGGCUAACUCCGUGUCAGCAGCCGCGGUAAUACGGAGGAUGCGAUCGUUAUCCGGAUUUCUUGGGUUUAAAGGGUGCGUAGGUGGUUAAUUAAGUCAGCGUGGAAAGUUUGUGGCUCAACCAUAAGAUUGCCGUUGAAACUGGUUGACUUGAGUAUAUGUGAGGUAGGCGGAAUGCGAGGUGUAGCGGUGAAAUGCAUAGAUAUCACGCAGAACUCCGAUUGCGAAGGCAGCUUACUAAACUAUAACUGACACUGAAGCACGAAAGCGUGGGGAUCAAACAGGAUUAGAUACCCGGGUAGUC